GACGAACGCUGGCGGCGUGCUUAACACAUGCAAGUCGAACGGUGAAGGGACCAGCUUGCUGGUUCUGGCUGAGUGGCGAACGGGUGAGUAACACGUGAGUAACCUGCCCCCUUCUUCUGGAUAACCGCAUGAAAGUGUGGCUAAUACGGGAUAUUCUGGGUCUGUCGCAUGGCGGGCCCGGGAAAGAUAUUGCUUCGGUGGGGGAUGGGCUCGCGGCCUAUCAGCUUGUUGGUGGGGUGAUGGCCUACCAAGGCGGUGACGGGUAGCCGGCCUGAGAGGGUGGACGGUCACACUGGGACUGAGACACGGCCCAGACUCCUACGGGAGGCAGCAGUGGGGAAUAUUGCACAAGGGGCGCAAGCCUGAUGCAGCGACGCCGCGUGAGGGAGGGAGGCCUUCGGGUUGUAAACCUCUUUCGCCAGUGAAGCAGGCCUGCUCCGUGUGGGUGGGUUGACGGUAGCUGGAGAAGAAGCGCCGGCUAACUACGUG
RNAcentral lists this ribosomal RNA (489 nucleotides) under uncultured bacterium. RNAcentral's name for it is "partial 16S ribosomal RNA". It matches the Rfam family "Bacterial small subunit ribosomal RNA", at positions 28 to 507 of the family's 1533-position model. The record is from RNAcentral.